AUAACGCUGGCGGCAGGCCUAACACAUGCAAGUCGAGCGGUAGAGAGAAGCUUGCUUCUCUUGAGAGCGGCGGACGGGUGAGUAAUGCCUAGGAAUCUGCCUGGUAGUGGGGGAUAACGUCCGGAAACGGACGCUAAUACCGCAUACGCCCUACGGGGGAAAGCAGGGGAUCUUCGGACCUUGCGCUAUCAGAUGAGCCUAUGUCGGAUUAGCUUGUUGGUGAGGUAACGGCUCACCAAGGCGACGAUCCGUAGCUGGUCUGAGAGGAUGAUCAGCCACACUGGGACUGAGACACGGCCCAGACUCCUACGGGAGGCAGCAGUGGGGAAUAUUGGACAAUGGGCGCAAGCCUGAUCCAGCCAUGCCGCGUGUGUGAAGAAGGCCUUCGGGUUGUAAAGCACUUUCAGCGAGGAGGAAAGGGGUGUUGCUAAUAUCAACGCCCUGUGACGUUACUCGCAGAAGAAGCACCGGCUAACUCCGUGCCAGCAGCCGCGGUAAU
This 499-nucleotide ribosomal RNA is filed under the name uncultured bacterium. Its description in RNAcentral is "bacterial SSU rRNA". It matches the Rfam family "Bacterial small subunit ribosomal RNA", at positions 32 to 524 of the family's 1533-position model. The record is from RNAcentral.